Molecule: ribosomal RNA, 497 nt
Filed under: uncultured bacterium
Lineage: Bacteria
Description: partial 16S ribosomal RNA
Rfam family: Bacterial small subunit ribosomal RNA
Source: RNAcentral
GAUGAACGCUGGCGGCGUGCCUAAUACAUGCAAGUCGAGCGAACAGACGAGGAUCUUGCUCCUCUGACGUUAGCGGCGGACGGGUGAGUAACACGUGGAUAACCUACCUAUAAGACUGGGAUAACUUCGGGAAACCGGAGCUAAUACCGGAUAAUAUAUUGAACCGCAUGGUUCAAUAGUGAAAGACGGUUUUGCUGUCACUUAUAGAUGGAUCCGCGCCGCAUUAGCUAGUUGGUAAGGUAACGGCUUACCAAGGCAACGAUGCGUAGCCGACCUGAGAGGGGGAUCGGCCCCACUGGGACUGAGACACGGUCCAGACUCCUAGGGAAGGCAGCAGUAGGGAAUCUUGCGCAAUGGGGGGAAGCCUGACGGAGCAACGCAGCGUGAGUGAUGAAGGUCUUCGGGUCGUAAAACUCUGUUAUUAGGGAAGAACAAAUGUGUAAGUAACUAUGCACGUCUUGACGGUACCUAAUCAGAAAGCAACGGCUAACUACGUG